CGCGUAGGCGGUUGAUUAAGUCGGAUGUGAAAGCCCUGGGCUCAACCUGGGAACUGCAUUCGAUACUGGUCAACUAGAGUACGAGAGAGGGAGGUAGAAUUCCACGUGUAGCGGUGAAAUGCGUAGAUAUGUGGAGGAAUACCGGUGGCGAAGGCGGCCUCCUGGCUCGAUACUGACGCUGAGGCACGAAAGCGUGGGGAGCGAACAGGAUUAGAUACCCUGGUAGUCC
This 229-nucleotide ribosomal RNA is filed under the name uncultured bacterium. RNAcentral's name for it is "partial 16S ribosomal RNA". It matches the Rfam family "Bacterial small subunit ribosomal RNA", at positions 568 to 796 of the family's 1533-position model. The record is from RNAcentral.